UCACUGCGGUGGCCACGCUUAGGUCGCGAUUAGGUGUAAACGUUGUGUCUGUUAAUCAAAUUGCACCAAUCCCGGCCUGCUUGUGGUCGCCAUGCCGCGUGA
This 102-nucleotide microRNA precursor is filed under the name Manduca sexta (tobacco hornworm). RNAcentral describes it as "microRNA mse-mir-92b precursor". Its record names the gene mse-mir-92b. The record is from miRBase by way of RNAcentral. Lineage: Eukaryota; Metazoa; Arthropoda; Insecta; Lepidoptera; Sphingidae.